Molecule: unclassified non-coding RNA, 1381 nt
Filed under: Hevea brasiliensis (rubber tree)
Lineage: Eukaryota; Viridiplantae; Streptophyta; Magnoliopsida; Malpighiales; Euphorbiaceae
Source: RNAcentral
AAACUCGUUAUAACUAAUUGACUGCCAUGCCACUCCACCAUGAAAAUAAUCCUCACUUCUUUACACCACAACAGCAGCGUGAAGGCCAACAUCCCCUGACACCACCUACUCCUGCGGGGACCCCACCUGGUCCAGGCCUGCUGUCACAGCCACCGCAGCGUCGGGACCGACAAGAACAGCCACCUAGUCAACGUGUUCCAAAACCUCAACGCCAACCCUCCAAGCCACAGGGACAGGUUGAUGGCCCAUUGCAAGCUCCAUGGAAGCAAUCAGCCCCACGUCAAGAGCAACCACCCCAAUCUCAUCCACAAGAUCAACGACAUGAUGGUGAAUACCGUAGUCCCUGGAUGUUCCCACACCAUCCAGAUGAAGACCACCGCAGUCAUGAUCCACUGCGUGAUGGCAAAUACCGUAGUCCUUGGAUUCCUCCACCAUCGCAGAAUCCAGAUGAAGACAUCAAGAUCAGUCCCCCGCAUACUCGUCCACCACAACAAGAUCAGCAAUCCAAGAAGCCCAAAACUACCGGGGUGACACAACCACAGGAUCAAGACCACUACCCCUUCCAUCCCAAUGAUGGUCUCCCACCAGCACAGCAACAGGACCGCUCUCGCCAUCCUCGUGGUUUGAGGACUCCAGCACCCCAGCAAACCAUGCCAAUAACAUGGUUAGGUGCAGCCUUGUGCGCCAUUUUCUGUAUUGUAAUAUUCCUAGGAGGCCUCAUUGUGCUCAUUGUGUAUCUAGUCUAUCGCCCACGUAGCCCUUGGUUCGAGGUGUCUAGUGUCACUUUGAAUGCAGCCUACGUCGAUGCAGGUUCUCUGCUGAAUGCUGAUAUCUCUUUGCUUGUAAACUUCACCAAUCCAAACAAAAAGGUUGGUCUGGAGUUCAGUCACAUGAUCAUUGAUCUAUACUAUGAGAAUACUCUCAUGGCAACCCAAUAUAUCGAAUCUUUCUCAGCACCAAAGGCUCAGUCCAGGUUUGCGAGCGUUCAUAUGAUAACAAGCCAGGUUCGGCUUCCCAUGGGAGACAGCGCACGGCUUCAGGAGCAGAUAAAUAGAAAUGGAAUCAUAUUUGACGUCAAAGGAGUAUUUCGGGUGCGAUCUAAGCUGGGGAAUUUCCUUACAUACUCCUAUCGCCUUUAUGGUCAUUGCACCAUCAUGGUGACAGCUCCUCCUACUGGUGUCCUAACAGCAACCAGAUGCAGAACAAAACGUUGAGUUGUUCUGUCUCCCAUAAGAAUUAAUUUUGCAGUGUCAAUAACGAUUCUUCCUCCUUGCUUAAUAGCAUCUUCUUUUGAGUCUAAUUACAACGUUUUCAAGGAAAUGCCUAUUCUCCGCUUUGGAUUAUUUCUAUCCCAUUUUCUUCACAUUUGCAUACUUUCUUC